GACUACCGGGGUAUCUAAUCCUGUUUGCUACCCACGCUUUCGUGACUCAGCGUCAGUUACAGUCCAGUAAGCCGCCUUCGCCACCGGUGUUCCUCCUAAUAUCUACGCAUUUCACCGCUACACUAGGAAUUCCGCUUACCUCUCCUGCACUCAAGUUAUGCAGUUUCAAAUGCUAACGCAAGUUAAGCCCGCGCCUUUUACAUCUGACAUACAUAACCGCCUACUCACCCUUUACGCCCAGUAAAUCCGGACAACGCUCGCCCCCUACGUAUUACCGCGGCUGCUGGCACGUAGUUAGCCGGGGCUUCCUCCUUGGUUACCGUCAUUAUCUUCACCAAGGACAGAGUUUUACGAUCCGAAGACCUUCUUCACUCACGCGGCGUCGCUGCAUCAGAGUUCCCUCCAUUGUGCAAUAUUCCCCACUGCAGCCUCCCGUAGG
Molecule: ribosomal RNA, 439 nt
Filed under: uncultured Sedimentibacter sp.
Lineage: Bacteria; Bacillati; Bacillota; Tissierellia
Description: partial 16S ribosomal RNA
Source: RNAcentral